UACGUAGGUGACCAGCGUUGUCCGGAUUUACUGGGCGUAAAGAGCGCGCAGGCGGUCGUUCAAGUCGAGUGUGAAAGCCCCCGGCUCAACUGGGGAGGGUCACUCGAUACUGAUCGACUCGAAGGCAGGAGAGGGAAGCGGAAUUCCCGGUGUAGUGGUGAAGUGCGUUGAUAUCGGGAGGAACACCAGUGGCGAAGGCGGCUUCCUGGCCUGUUCUUGACGCUGAGGCGCGAAAGCUAGGGGAG
Molecule: ribosomal RNA, 245 nt
Filed under: uncultured bacterium
Lineage: Bacteria
Description: partial 16S ribosomal RNA
Rfam family: Bacterial small subunit ribosomal RNA
Source: RNAcentral